AUUGAACGCUGGCGGCAUGCCUUACACAUGCAAGUCGAACGGCAGCACGGAGCUUGCUCUGGUGGCGAGUGGCGAACGGGUGAGUAAUAUAUCGGAACGUACCCUUGGGUGGGGGAUAACGUAGCGAAAGUUACGCUAAUACCGCAUACGAUCUACGGAUGAAAGUGGGGGAUUCGCAAGAACCUCAUGCUCAUGGAGCGGCCGAUAUCUGAUUAGCUAGUUGGUAGGGUAAAAGCCUACCAAGGCAUCGAUCAGUAGCUGGUCUGAGAGGACGACCAGCCACACUGGAACUGAGACACGGUCCAGACUCCUACGGGAGGCAGCAGUGGGGAAUUUUGGACAAUGGGCGAAAGCCUGAUCCAGCAAUGCCGCGUGAGUGAAGAAGGCCUUCGGGUUGUAAAGCUCUUUUGUCAGGGAAGAAACGGUGGUUUCUAAUACAGAUCACUAAUGACGGUACCUGAAGGAUAAGCACCGGCUAACUACGUGCCAGCAGCCGCGGUAAUACGUAGGGUGCAAGCGUUAAUCGGAAUUACUGGGCGUAAAGCGUGCGUAGGCGGUUAUGUAAGACAGAUGUGAAAUGCCCGGGCUCAACCUGGGAACUGCAUUUGUGACUGCAUGGCUAGAGUUUGGCAGAGGGGGGUAGAAUUCCACGUGUAGCAGUGAAAUGCGUAGAUAUGUGGAGGAACACCGAUGGCGAAGGCAGCCCCCUGGGUCAAGACUGACGCUCAUGCACGAAAGCGUGGGGAGCAAACAGGAUUAGAUACCCUGGUAGUCCACGCCCUAAACGAUGUCUACUAGUUGUCGGGUCUUAAUUGACUUGGUAACGCAGCUAACGCGUGAAGUAGACCGCCUGGGGAGUACGGUCGCAAGAUUAAAACUCAAAGGAAUUGACGGGGACCCGCACAAGCGGUGGAUGAUGUGGAUUAAUUCGAUGCAACGCGAAAAACCUUACCUACCCUUGACAUGGCUGGAAUCCCCGAGAGA
RNAcentral lists this ribosomal RNA (984 nucleotides) under uncultured bacterium. Its description in RNAcentral is "bacterial SSU rRNA". It matches the Rfam family "Bacterial small subunit ribosomal RNA", at positions 28 to 1006 of the family's 1533-position model. The record is from RNAcentral.